RNAcentral lists this small nuclear RNA (107 nucleotides) under Catagonus wagneri (Chacoan peccary). The record is from RNAcentral. Lineage: Eukaryota; Metazoa; Chordata; Mammalia; Artiodactyla; Tayassuidae.
GUGUUCACUUUGGCAGCACACAUGCCAAAACUGGAAUGAUACAGAGACAAUUAGCAUGGCCCCUGUGCAAGGAUGGCAUGCAAAUUCAUGACGGACUCCAUACUUUU